Molecule: long non-coding RNA, 296 nt
Filed under: Orbicella faveolata
Lineage: Eukaryota; Metazoa; Cnidaria; Anthozoa; Scleractinia; Merulinidae
Description: uncharacterized LOC110062394, transcript variant X2
Source: RNAcentral
AGGGUUGGGGUAUCUUACAGUUGGAAACUCAGGAUCUGGAACCAUCUAAAAAAAAAAAACAACCCAGUAACUACAGAUACAAAUGGGGGUAGGUUAAAUGCCUCAAAUGCCAGCUCAGCAAACCUUUGUCCAACACCAUGCAUGGGAGUAAAGUUAGUAAUUUCCAUGCCCAUUGGUGUGAAGACAUGACCAAGAGAAUCAUUUCUUUGCUGUAAACUGUACUGUACUGUACACACAUACAAGUUGCUUGAGGUAAUAAAGAGACAAAGCACUGUUAAAUUCAGGUGAGGAUCUUG